This 2202-nucleotide ribosomal RNA is filed under the name Sphaerospora ohlmacheri. RNAcentral describes it as "partial 28S ribosomal RNA". It matches the Rfam family "Eukaryotic large subunit ribosomal RNA", at positions 23 to 1167 of the family's 3401-position model. Lineage: Eukaryota; Metazoa; Cnidaria; Myxozoa; Bivalvulida; Sphaerosporidae. The record is from RNAcentral.
ACCCGCUGAACUUAAGCAUAUCAGUAAGCGGAGGAAAAGAAAACAACAGUGAUUCCCUUAGUAACUGCGAGUGAAGCGGGAAGAGCCCAACGUCGAAUCGCUUAUGCCCCUAACAGGGUAGCGAUGAAUUCGCGAGCGAGCUGUGACGUAAGGAGGUGCUUCACCGGGCUGGGCCGUGUCAUCAAAGUUUACUUGGAAAGGUGCGCCGCAGAGGGUGAUAGCCCCGUGUGUGAUGACAUGAGUGCUGUGAAAGGCCCAGCUCGCUUAUGUGUACGUAAGUGUGGAAGUGCUUUCCAUGAGUCGGGUUGUUUGGGAUUGCAGCCCUAAGAGGGUGGUAAACUUCACCCAAGGCUAAAUACUGGAACGAGACCGAUAGCGAACAAGUACCGUGAGGGAAAAUUGACAAGUACCGCGGCAGCGGGGUCAAAAGUACGUGAAACCGUUAAAGGGGAAGCGGAUGAAUGGGUCGAUAAACCCCGCAAGGUUCAGCGUCAUGUGAGUUGAGGGGAAGCAGUGUUAGGGGCCCUAUUCAACGUAUCAAACAUGUGACGUGUCCCUGCCUGUGCGCUGGGUGAGCCGAAACAGUCGUUGCAAGUACGGCCGAGGCAGGCUGGACGUCUAGGGGCUGCUGUCCGUUGCUUCAUCCGGUCUCCAUGCCGGGUGUUGGUGAUGGUUCCCAGCGGCAGCUGGAUGCUUACCUGUAUGUGUGCGUGUGUGAGAACCAUGAUAAUUACAAUCUCGGCGAUCUGAUUGAAAGAAGCGUUUGCGAUGACUGAGAGUAAGCGUCGUUGAGACGUUGCCAUACGCUCCCGUCGGUGCUUGUGUGCCGGCGUAUGGGGCAAUCUGGUGGUCAGUUGAGACAUGAUAGUAGGUGUGUCCCGUGUGUGAGGCUGGCGAUAUCUAUGCUGCUCGGGGUGCCAGCCUCUCUCUCCCUCACCGGAGGUGGAGGUUGGCACUGCAGCAUUUGAUAAGACCUCGAAAGGCUCGUCUACCGUGGGAACGCAGGCAACUGCAGUCCACACAUUAGCCAGCGUUCACAUGUGUGUCAAUUGUGUGUAAUUGUAACAGAGAGCACGCCACACGCGCAUACCAGGGCAGAUCAUUGUACAGACGGUAUCACUAGGUGCCGGAUGAUCUGCCGGGACCUGGACACAACAUGCUCUGAUCACUCCUCCUUCUCCGUCAGGGGAAUGUGUGGAAAAUGUGUGGCAUAUUUUCGGCGAGAUACCAAUUCAUCCGACCCGUCUUGAAACACGGACCAAGGAGCCUAACAUAUGCGCGAGUCAAAGGGUGUUUAAACCCAGAUUGCAGGCUAUUGCAAGGCCCCCGGUGCCAGCUAGAUACGUCUGGUGUCGGGGAGUGACAUACAAAAGCCACAUGAGGCGCAAUGAAAGUGAGUCGGAUAAAAAAUAUACUCCGAAACGGAUGGGAUCUGCUUGUUUCGCCGAAAAACCCUUACCGUUGUGGCUGCCUCUCUGCUUCCCUCGGGGAGUGGAGGGGUGGUUGCUGUAUGCGGUAUAGCACAAGCAGCGCACCAUCGGCCGGACCACACGUAGGUGUGGACUGAGCAAGAGCGCAUAUGCUAGAACCCGAAAGAUGGUGAACUAUUCCUGGGUAGGGCGAAGCCGGAGGAAACUCCGGUGGAGGCUCGCAGCGAUCCUGACGUGCAAAUCGGUCGUCAAACCUGGGUAUAGGGGCGAAAGACUAAUCGAACCAUCUAGUAGCUGGUUCCUUCCGAAAUAUCCCUCAGGAUCGCUGAGACUUGAAUGACGCACACGCGUCUCACGGUAGUUUCAUCGGGUAGAGCUAAUGAUUAGAGUUAUUUGGGAGCAACUGCUCCUGAAACUACUCUCAAACUGCCAACCGGUGAGAUGUGUCGAUUUCUUUGAUCUCCUGCGGGCUGCAUAUUUCCGACUCGCUGCUGGCAACAGUGGUGGGUUGGUGGGUGUGUUGGCCCGUGGGGUGCUCUACUCUCCUGGCAGUGCCGGGCUGUGUGAUGCGAGGUGUACGAAAGUGACCUCUCACGGUAGACCCAUUGUGCAGUCUGACAUUGCUGUUGGUGGUGCAUCGAGUAGGGAUGAUUGAAUGGACGCAAAAAAUUGAUGGGAGUGGUGCCCUUCGGGGCGCUGCCCCCAAAAAAAGUGAAUACCAGAGUCUCAAGUGGGCCGUUUCUGGUAAGCAGAACUGGCGAUGCGGGAUGAA